UACAGAGGCCACAAGCGUUAAUCGGAAUCACUGGGCUUAAAGGGUGCGUAGGCGGUCCCGCAAGUGCUUUGUGAAAUCCCAUCGCUCAACGAUGGAAUGGCUCGGCAUACUGCGGGACUUGAGGUCGGUAGAGGUCGUCGGAACAGUAGGUGGAGCGGUGAAAUGCGUAGAUAUCUACUGGAACGCCAAAGGUGAAGACAGGCGACUGGGCCGAUUCUGACGCUGAGGCACGAAAGCGUGGGGAGCGAACGGG
Molecule: ribosomal RNA, 253 nt
Filed under: uncultured bacterium
Lineage: Bacteria
Description: partial 16S ribosomal RNA
Rfam family: Bacterial small subunit ribosomal RNA
Source: RNAcentral